Molecule: long non-coding RNA, 216 nt
Filed under: Elaeis guineensis (African oil palm)
Lineage: Eukaryota; Viridiplantae; Streptophyta; Magnoliopsida; Arecales; Arecaceae
Description: long non-coding RNA (EGUI_LNC051568)
Source: RNAcentral
GGUGGAGAAACUGUGUCGUAUCCGUCGCAGGAAGUGGAGCAGAAUCGUAGCCGUUACUGCGGCCUGCCAGGGGGUCCAGGCCCGUCGGCUGACGUUCGGUUGGGGUGUCCGACGGAGAGAGGUGGCUAGCUACCCAUCUGAGAGGAGCUCGGAUGCUGCAAAUCCUAUUGGGUGCCUUGGGCGUUAAGGCGGUGGGCGAGAAUCACUUGACGUAGG